This 1379-nucleotide long non-coding RNA is filed under the name Callithrix jacchus (white-tufted-ear marmoset). Its description in RNAcentral is "lncRNA (ENSCJAG00000085384.1)". Lineage: Eukaryota; Metazoa; Chordata; Mammalia; Primates; Cebidae. The record is from RNAcentral.
UGUACAUGUUUGUUACAAAGGUAUAUGGCAUGAAGCUGAGGUUUGGAGUACAACUGAACCUGUUACUCAGGUGGUGGGCAUGGUACCCAACAGCACUGUGUACAACAGCAAAGAUCUGGAACCAACCCAAAUGCCCAUCAAUGAUAGACUGGACAAGAAAAAUGUGGCACAUAUACACCAUGGAAUACUAUACAGCCAUAAAAAACGAAGAGUUUGUGUCCUUUGUAGGGACAUGGAUGAAUCUGGAAACCAUCAUUCUCAGCAAACUGACACAAGAAGAGAAAAUCAAACACCGCAUGUUCUCACUCAUAGGUGGGUGUUGAACAAUGAGAACACAUGGACACAGGGAGGGGAGCAUCACACACUGGGGUCUGUUGGGGGGGGUAGGGGAGGGACAGCAGGGGGUGGGGAGGUUGAGUAGGAAUAACAUGGGGAGAAAUGCCAGAUAUAGGUGACGAGGGGUUGGAGGCAGCAAACCACAUUGCCAUGUAUGUACCUAUGCAACAAUCCUGCAUGAUCUGCACAUGUACCCCAGAACCUAAAGUGCAACUUAAAAAAAAAAUGAAAAAAAAGAAACUUGGGCUACAGAGAUGAACAGAAAAAAAAAUCAUUAAAAAUCGCUGUCUUAAAAAUAGCUAGGGUUCACCCCUCUGUGAACCAACAGUUUUCUGUUGGCUGUUUGUUGUUCACUGGAUAAAAAAGCAUUGUGAUCAGUUAAUUAUUCUUUAUUGGGAUCCUGGGUCCAUUCCUUUUUCUUUUACUAUAUUAAGCCACUGAUGCUCAUGAGUAAAGAAUAAUGCCUCUGAAGUACUUAAGUCUUAUAUUUCGGGGAAGGAGCUCAGAAUUAUUGAGCGUUUUCAACUACUGAUGCCUACAAACAUAAUUUAGGUCAUUGACCUAUGAUACUUUGACUAUUUUAUACAUGUUAGUAUUUGUAACUUUUGUAGAUUAUCUCUCAUCUCAUAUUUCUCUAUCGUCUUUCAAAGAAAAUUUGAAAUUCUCAAGAAUUAAGUAGACAGAUUAGGAGAUAUAUGAGCAUAAAAGAAAUCAGAAAAAUUUUAAGUAAUCAUGUAGAAUAAUAACUAAAAGUCACCAUGAUCCUUGUGUGCAAUAGGCUGCCUUUAGGGUAAUAUAGUUUUUGUAAAAUUUUACAAAAAUUGAACUCCUCACAUUGAAACACUGUACUUUGAAAGAAACUUCAAAUUCAGCAUAUUUUGAAAAAAUCUGGAUGAUGACUCAUUUUCUUUCUUUCAAACCUUUUAAUUUCCACAACAUGUAGCUUAAGGGAAAUUUUAUCUUCAUUAUAGCUGUUUCAGAAUAGCUUUAGACAGGUAGGAAACAAAUUUGAAAUGCAAUGUAAAAAAUGGCACUUAGCAAGC